This 260-nucleotide ribosomal RNA is filed under the name uncultured bacterium. RNAcentral's name for it is "partial 16S ribosomal RNA". It matches the Rfam family "Bacterial small subunit ribosomal RNA", at positions 336 to 613 of the family's 1533-position model. The record is from RNAcentral.
UUCCUACGGGGGGCAGCAGUGGGGAAUAUUGCACAAUGGGGGAAACCCUGAUGCAGCAACGCCGCGUGAGUGAAGAAGUAUUUCGGUAUGUAAAGCUCUAUCAGCAGGGAAGAAGAUGACGGUACCUGAUUAAGAAGCCCCGGCUAACUACGUGCCAGCAGCCGCGGUAAUACGUAGGGGGCAAGCGUUAUCCGGAUUUACUGGGCGUAAAGGGAGCGUAGCCGGCAUAGCAAGUCUGAAGUGAAAGCCCAAGGCUCAAC